CCAAUUGCUGAUUAUAGACCAAAGUUAACGUUCAAAUCCUCAUAUACAUCCAGCAAAAUAAUAAUGAUAAUCCACAAUGAUAGAAAAUCCCAAGAAGAAUUGGAGAAUUAGGCGUUUAAGCUUUUUUCUACGUUGGAAUCUCCCUCAACGUGUAAACCCCAGUUCCUACUAUGAAAAUACGUAAAAAUUAAUCAAAGAUACGUCUGACACCAGUCAGAUAUCAUUUUAAUCAAUUAUAACCCUUUUAAUUAAAAAUUAAAAUAAAUAAAUCAGCAGCUUCAGGCAUCGCGCGCGGCCUCGCGACCCUCAAGUGUAAUCCUCGCGCGGGCGCGCGACUUGCAGUGUGUAAUGUUGUCCAGCCGGGUGCGUUUCUGCAACUUUAAAUUCUGGUUCUGCUGCUGCAACUGAUCUGUUAUGCUGCUCCUUCCUUUGUCCAUCCAUGCUUAGUCUUCUGCUCCGCUUGAUCCUCAUGCCACGCAUCUACCAGCUUGUGCCUCGCUUCAUGCGUCCAUUAGCCUCGUGCCCUCUAAUACCACCAAAUUAGGCCGUUUCCUGCACUUUUUUCACCAAAAGGAGUUUUAAGUAAAUGCAAUACAAAAUAACAUGAAAUGCAACUAAAAACUCACUAAAAUGUACUUGAGAUGGGCAUAGUUCGCGUGAAUUGGUAUUCAAUAAGUAUGUAUAAAACCCACUUAUCAAUGAGUUAAUACCUUGUUGGGCAAGUUUUUAGUUUCCAACUUGCUAUCAGUUAAUGUAUGUUCAGUAAUUUCAAUUCUAAUGUUAUAAGACUCUAACCUUAGCUUAUUUACUGUUCAAGCAAAGGAUAUCCAUUUUAUUCAUUUUAUUGAAUACUUAUGCUCUAUAGUUAUUUCAAGCAUGAGUUUAAUAUGCAUAAUCAGUUCAUUUAUGAUUCUCAAUUGUUCUAUGUUAUAUUGUUAUUAAACAUCUGUUGUGAUUAUCAAACACUAUUGAUUCAACUAGUCCUCUAGUUGAUGUUCGUUAAACUUCAAAUUUCCCUUGAAAGCUUAUCCAAACCAAACUUUCUUUGGUGCGGACUUGUACUCUAAAUACUGAGGUGAACAACCCUAUUAUUAAUAGGGGAUAACUUACGCGUAGCUUUAAAAUGUUUGUGCACAAUACAUUGUACGAAGGGCUGAUCCCCCUAAGUACGAGGAGUCCUUAUAGUCUUAUGACUGUUAAAGUUGGAGUUGAAAGAUUACUCGCAACUGUGGACAUGGUUCAUGUUCUUAUGACCCUCAGUUAUGUAUAUUCCAUAUUUUGGAUUCCAGUUCUGAUUAUCAUUAUUAGAGUACUAUUCAGUCUUGAUGAGCCUAUUGUUGACGGUUAUUAUUAUUAUUCUCCUGUUGAUUCAUUGUUAUAUUUAGUGAGCAAUUAUUUUGCUCACUCUUGCAUAUUUAUAAACUCAUUGCAGCUAAAGUUGAGAAGGUAGAUGAGCCUUCAACUAGCAAAGAAAAGGGAAAAAUGUACAAGUGAUGCUGAUUUGUACUUUUGAUUUCUGUUAUGAUCAUAGACUUUUUAAUAAUGAUGUAAUGUAAUAAUUUAAUUCCGCACUUGAAUGAUGUUUAAAGGUUAGAUAACAUGGGAUUGUUUUGAAUUUAAUGGUGUAACCCUAUUUAAAGGGAGGAUUAUGGCUUAAAUAAUAUUUAUUUUGGUAGAUAGUAUGAAUGUAUGGAUAGUGAGCACCAAAUCUCGUGAGAAUGAAGUACCUAGAUUUGGGGGUGUCACAGGUUGGUAUCAAAGCCUUAGGUUAUGAACCUUAGGUGGGGAAAAGCCUUAGGAAGUAACCUUUGAAAAGAUAGUGAUGAUGAACUCUUAUCGAGUUUUAAGGAAGAAGUAAUAAAAUACUUAUGUGCUUAUGCGAUUAUAACUUAUGUGCUCGUGAGUGACGAGUAGUAAUGGUUAGUAAUUCAAACUUAAAAUUUGAUUGACAAGAUGGCUAAUGUAGGAGGAUCCAGUCAGGCUAGAGAGGAGGAGCCUCAAGAUAUUCAGGUGAUUUGGGAAGAACUACUGCCACGGGAAAUAGUUCCGUCGGUCACAGUAGUUGAGCAGGAGAGAGUACCUGAUGAGGAUGAUGAGAUAGAGACGGAUGAAGAGGACCCCGUGGAGCUGCCACAGUUGGGGGAUGAGGAGGACGAGGAGGAAGAGCUUUCACUUAACUCGAUAGAUGCCCGUAUGUAUGACGAGGUGUAUGAUCGCAAUGUGGAACUUCAAGAUACCGUCGAGGAGUUACAGGAGAUAGUAGCUAAACAACAGACCUCGAUGGCACAGAAGGACGAUGAGAUCCAAGAUCGAGAAGAAUGACUGAACAACGUUGAAGAGAAGCUGGUCCACACUGAAGGAGAAAAUGAGGGAAUGAUAGCAGAGAUUUCAGAGUUGAAGAACAAGUUGAAAGAAGAAUCUACAAAAAGGGCAAGAGCUGAAGACGCAUACAAUGAAGCUUAUCAACGAGCCGGAAUGGCAGAGAGAGACGCACAAGCAAAGAGGAGGAAGAUGGAAGAGAUGAACAACGUAUUCAACACCGUGAUCAAUCGAGCUCAAGAUCGAGUCAUGGGUUAUCCGAUUCAGUUCGAGACGCUACCCUCAUACAUAUUGGAUCGCCGAACAAUGUUCUGAAUUAUGGAGGAAGAGCGUCAUAAGGCUACGCAGUAUCUUAGUAGGACAUUGUAGAGAAUGUAAUUGAUAUGUGAUUAGAAAAUAAACGAAAUGUAAAUCCCGGGUAUGAUAUAACCAAUGGGAUAAAUGAUGAUGAUGUUGUCCUGCAACUUUUAUAGUUCAGGAAAAGUAAUGUAAAUAGCAGUGAUGCUAUUGUUCUGAUGUUUUUUUUAAGAUGAUGAAUGAAUAAAAGUUAUUGCUUUAUUCAAGGUGUUAAGUGUUAUGUGAUAAACUUUUAUGAUGUGAAACUUAAGUAUAUAAUACUUAAAAGGUUGAAUAAAGGCUAAUGGAUGUAUUUUAGCAGAAAAUGCCUCCAAGUUGUCAACCACCACGACAGAAAAUCGUUGAGGAAAACAACAACAACAACAACAACAAUGUUGAAGGAAACCCAGUUCAGCAGCUAGUGACGUUACUGACGGGUGCUUUGCAGAAUCAACCUCAGAACCAAGGUACUACGUUUAAGGAUUCAAGGCGGUUGGACCACCAGAAUUCCGUGGGUCUAUGAAUCCAAUUGAAGCACAGACUUGGAUCAUGGAAAUUGAGAAGGUUUUUGAUGUUUCUAGGGUAGAAGAUAAUCAGAAGUUUUGCAACAUUCAUAUUGAAAGUAGAGGCUAGUUAUUGGUGGCAGGCCAACAAAACUCAGGAAGGACCAGGAGUGAUGACCUGGGAUAGGUUUAAGGAGUUGUUCUUCGAGACCUAUUUCCCAGAGAGUUCGAAGAGUCAGCUAGAGGUUCAGUUUUUGGAACUAAAGCAGGGAAUGAUGUCGGUGUCGGAGUAUGCCGCAAGAUUCAACGAGUUGGCGAGAUUUGCGCCAUAUCAAGUCAGCACAGACAAACGCAAGGCGAAGAGGUUUGAACAGGGACUGAAGCCCUGGUUGUACAGUAAGGUCUCCCUGUUCCAGCUGAAGACGUUUGCAACAGUGAUGGAGAAAGCAAUUCUCGCUGAGAGUAGAGGCGAGGCUGUAACAAAACACAAUCAAGAGCAAAGGAAGAAGAAAAGUGAAGGUGAAGUUAAGAGUGGUGGUAGUAGUGGCGGAAAUGGUAACAAUUUGAAGAGGAAGUGGAAUGCGAAUGGGGGAGCUGGAAAUCAGCCAAGAAACUAGCAAAAUAAGAAGUUUAAUGCAUGUGCUACAUGUGGGAAAUUUCACAAGGGUGUGUGCUUGAUGGGGAAACGAGUAUGUUUCAAUUGUGGCCAGGAGGGUCACAUCGCCCCAAAUUGCACUCAACCUAAGAAGAACGUUUGUUUCACGUGCGGGUCCAAGGAUCACUUUGCUCAUGAAUGCCCUAAGAAGAGAUCUGGUGAGACAAAUGGGAGCAAAGGAAAUGCUAGUGGAGGUGCGCUGGCUAUUGCAGGACCAACGUCAACAAAUAAGCCCACAGCCAGAACCUUUAACAUGACGGUGCAGGACGCAGUGAAAUCAAAAGAUGUUGUGUCAGGUAUUAUCCCAAUCCAUGAUAUAAAUGCAUAUGUAUUAUUUGAUUCGGGUGCUACUUGCUCGUUUAUAUCUGAUGAGUUUGCUAAGAAGUUAGAAAUACCUAGUGAAGAGCUGAAAUUCCCUGUAAACAUAGAAAUUGUGAAUAGAGAAGUGAUUCAUGUUAGGUUCGUAUACAAGGACUGUAGGAUGAAUAUAAAGGGGAAUGUCAUGAAAGUAGAUUUAAUCCCGAUAAAACUCAGAGAGUUCGAUGUUAUUUUGGGAAUGGAUUGGCUGUUCAAUUAUGGAGCAAUAAUUGAUUGUCAAAAGAAGUGUGUAAACCUUAUGACUCCGUCAAAGGUAGUUUUUCAUGGUAGCAAAUUGCCUAGACAAAUAAAAUGUCUGACGAUGAUGCAGGCCAAGAAGUUAUUGAAUCAGGGCUGUGUAGAGUAUCUAGCUUACAUAGUCGAUACUCAAAAGGAGAAGGGUGUGAAAUUGGAGGAAAUACCGGUGGUUAGGGAGUUCGUGGAUGUGUUUCCGAAGGAUUUUCCAGGACUUCCACCUGACAGAGAAAUCGAGUUCGUGAUCGACUUAGCGCCAGGAACCGCUCCUAUAUCGAAGGCCCCGUACAGAAUGGCUCCGGUGAAGAUGAAGGAACUCAUGGUGCAACUACAAGAACUGUUAGACAAGAAGUAUAUUCAACCGAGUGGGGAGCCCCGGUGUUAUUCGUGAAAAAGAAGGAUGGGUCAAUGCGUCUUUGCAUUGAUUAUAGGGAAUUGAACAAAGUCAUUAUUAAGAACAAAUAUCCAUUGCCAAGAAUAGAUGACUUGUUUGAUCAGUUGAAGGGUGCUAGAUAUUUCUCGAAAAUAGAUUUGAGAAGUGGAUAUCACCAAUUGAAAGUAAGGAAAGAGGAUGUACUGAAGACAGCAUUCCUAACUAGGUAAGGACAUUACGAAUUUUUAGUGAUGUCAUUUGGUUUGACAAACGCCCCUACAGCGUUCAUGGAUUUGAUGAGCAGGGUGUUUAAACCAUUUUUGGAUAAAUUUGUGGUGGUGUUCAUCGAUGAUAUUUUGAUGUACUCUAAAACUCAAGAGGAACAUGUGGAACACUAACGUAUGACGUUGGAGACGUUAAGAAAGGAAAAGUUGUACGCGAAAUUCUCUAAAUGUGAAUUUUGGCUGGAACGUGUACAAUUUCUUGGGCAUGUAAUCGAUAAGGAUGGGAUUUCCAUGGAUCCAUCAAAAGUCGAAGCUAUGAUAAAUUGGGAACAACCAAGAACUCCAUCAGAAGUAAGAAGUUUCUUGGGAUUGGCAGGCUAUUACAGAUGGUUUAUUCAGGAUUUUUCCAAGAUUGCCACUCCGUUGACAAAUUUGACAAGAAAAUCUAUAAAAUUUGUUUGGACGAAGAAGUGUGAAGAAAGUUUUCAAGAAUUGAAGAAGAAGCUCAGUGUGGCACCUGUGUUGUCAUUACCAGAUAAUACAGGAAAUUUUGUGGUGUAUAGUGAUGCAUCACACAAAGGAUUGGGUUGUGUCCUUAUGCAGAACGGCAAGGUUAUUGUAUAUGCAUCAAGGCAACUGAAAGACUACGAAAAAGGGUAUCCGACUCAUGAUUUAGAGUUGGCGGUGGUUGUGUUCGCACUGAAGAUAUGGAGACACUACCUCUAUGGAGAGAAAUGUAAGAUAUACACAGACCAUAAAAGCCUAAAGUAUAUUUUCACACAGAAAGACCUGAACAUGCGGCAAAGGAGAUGGAUGGAAUUGAUAAAGGAUUACGAUUGUGAGAUCUUUUAUCAUCCAGGCAAAGCAAACAUGGUUGCAGAUGCCUUGAGUAAGAAAGGCAGAGAAAAGUUGAUGUUCUUAACUAAUAAGGAGGAGCUCAUUUCAGCAAUGGCAAUGUUAGAGCUGGAAAUCAAAUUUCCAGAAGAAUCUGAUGAAAAAUUGUUCCAGAUAGAAGCUAGUCCAACUUUGGUGGACAAAGUGAAAAACGCUCAGCUACAGGAUGAAGAAUGCAAGAAAAUAAAGCAAAGUAUAGUUGAGGGUAAAGAAGCGAAGUACCGGGUCGAUACUAUGGGAAUUCUAAGAUUCGAGGGACGAAUUUGGGUUCCAGCAGUUCAGGAUAUUAAAGAAGAAAUCUUGACGGAAGCACAUAGCUCGAGAUAUUCAAUUCAUCUGGGAAAUACGAAAAUGUAUCAAGAUUUGCAGCGUCAUUUUUGGUGGCCGAACAUGAAAAGAGAUGUUGUAGAAUGCGUUGCAAAGUGCUUGACAUGUCAGAAAGUGAAGGUCGAGCAUCAAAGACCAAGAGGAUUACUUCAACCGUUGGAGAUACCGGAAUGGAAGUGGGAGCAUAUUACAAUGGAUUUUGUGGUAGGUCUUCCAACGACUCAAAAAGGAUACGAUGCGAUAUGGGUGAUAGUGGACAGGUUAACAAAAUCUGCACACUUUUUGCCAAUAAAGAUUAGAUUUAAUCUUGAUCAGCUAGCGAAGCUAUACGUUAAGGAGAUCAUUUCAAGACAUGGAGUUCUAGUGUCAAUUGUAUCAGACAUAGAUCCGAGGUUUACAUUAAAUUUCUAGAAGAGACUACAAGAAUGCAUGGGAAUGUAAUUGAAGAUGAGCACAGCAUAUCAUCCACAAACUGAUGGGCAAAGCGAAAGAACGAUCCAAACGCUUAAAGAUAUGCUCAGAGCGUGCAUCAUGGUUUUCAAAGGAAAUUGGGAUGCUCAUCUACCAUUGGUGGAAUUUGCAUACAACAACAGUUACCAUGCAAGUAUUGGUAUGCCGCCAUACGAGGCGUUAUAUGGCAGAAAGUGCAGAACUCCACUAUGCUGGGAUGAAGUUGGAGAACGGCAAUUGUUAGGCCCAGAACUAGUUCAGCAGACUGCUGAAGUUGUUAAACUCAUCAGAGCAAGACCGGUAGCUGCUCAAGAUCGACAGAAAAAGUAUGUUGAUCAACAUAGGCAGAGUCAUGAAUUUGAAGCAGGAAGUUUCAUGCUCCUAAAAGUCUCUCCUUGGAAGGAAAAAAUUCAUUUUGGCAAGAAAGGAAAGCUCAGCCCAAGGUUUAUUGGACCUUUCGAAAUUCUACGAAAAGUGGGAGAGGUGGCUUACGAAGUAGCUUUACCUCCAGAAUUAGAGCAUGUACACAACGUUUUUCAUGUGUCGGUGUUGCGACCAUAUAAACCCAAUUAUAAGCAUGUGAUCGAGUAUGAACCAUUGUAGUUCAGUAAAGAUUUAUCUUAUGAAAAGAUUCCUAUCCAAAUAGUCGACAGGAAGGAACAAGUGCUCAGGAAUAAAGUGAUACCUUCUGUGAAGGUGAUAUAGAGGAACCACAAUGUCGAAGAGGCUACGUGGGAACUCAAAGCUGAUAUGAUGAAGAAUUAUCCUGAGUUAUUUGUUUAGUCUGUGUCUCCGAUUCUGGGGACAAAAUCUUUGUAAGUAGGGGAGAAUGUGACGAUUUGAUUGUUUGAAUUGUGAUUAUCGGGACAGAAUCCUUGUAAGGGGGGAAGGAUGUAACGAUUCGAAAUUUUAAAUUGUAAUUUAAAUAUUUAUUGAGUUAUAUAAAUAUUAUUUAAGGUGUUAAAUAUUUUAUUGACGUAAUGGUUGAUGAAUUUAAAUGUAUUAGAGAAUUUUUCUAAAUUAAAUUAAUUUAUAAUUUAGAGAGCUGUAAAAUAACAUGAGAUGUUAUACUGUUGUUUUGAUUUAAUAAUUUUAAUGAUAUAUUAAAUUAUUAAAUAAAGUUAUAAUAAAAAUUAUAAAUUUGUGAUAUUUGUUAAAAUGCUAUAUUUAAUUAAAAUAUAGUAUGUGAUUAGUGUAAUGGGUUAGUGUUGGAUAUAAAAAUUCAAAUAAAUAAUAUGUGAUUAUAAUUAUAAACUAAAGUGUUUAUGUAAACAAACUAAAAGGGUUUAAUUUAGUUUUUGCCAAACAAGGCUUAAAAGUAUUUUAAUUCUUUAAAUUUAAAGGGUUUUUGCCAAACAAGCCUUAUGGCUUUUGGAAUUUCUAAUUUUUGAAAAUAAAUAAUAUAAAUAAAAUAAGUAAAAUAAUAAAUAUAAUAUAUUUAUAUUAUAUACAUUAGUAACUGAUUUUGCAAUUAGUAGUGUUACUAAGGGUUAUCAGUUUUAUUCUUGCACUUGAAUACCAGUUGAUUUUCUUAUUACGCAUUCUAUUUUCCAAGCUUGAGAGUUCAGAGAAUUGAGUGAGUUUGAGAGCUUCAGAGAAAAUUGAGAGAGUCUUAAGAAUUUUCAGAGCAAAUUCCAGUGAGUUUAGCAAGAAUUUCUGUUAAGUAACAAAAGGUAUGUUCCAUAAUCUCUAUAUUAUAAGCAUGUAUAUGUGUUUGACGGCAAAAUUCUAUAUACUCUGUGAAUCCAAAUUCUCUUGGCUUGUUGUAGAAACUGAGUUGUUGCAAUUUAUGUGUAAUUUAUAAUACUAGAGUUUAUGGCUAAACCAGAAUACGUAUGCUAAUUACAGUUAAUAGUAGAAAAAAUUUGUCAGUAUAUAUGUUUUCAUAUGUAAGUAUCAAUUUUAGUGGCCAAUUCAUGAGUGAAACUGUAAGAUGCUUGUAUAUGGUAGUUCAUUGAGAUACGACAAUUUUAGUUCAUUGUAAUGUGUCCAACAUGUAACAUCAAGGCUAAAACAGAGUUGUGUUAUGGGGUUAGUGAAUUCAAAGUGGUAAAAAUGAUUAAUAAAUUUCGAACGCAUUAUGUGAUAACUUAGUAUACACAAUGAAUGUUAGGCAAGUGUUGCGAAGUAAACACUUAGAAUUUCUGAAAUAUAAAUGGUAAAGAAAGACUUGUGCUAAAAUGGUAAGUUUAGCUAGAAAUGUACAUGUUAUGGUAUGUUAGCAUAUCUAAUAGAUAAUGUGGUUCUAAACCAAUGUGUAGGUGAACGUGAGUUUAAUAUUGUAGCUUACGCUCGAGGCAAGUUUCUAAACCCUAUCUUUUUACAUUGAGAAAGUUUUCUAACUCUACACUUUUGUUGAGUUAAUUUUAUUACUAUAUUGUGCAACUUUAUUCUUUUGAUUGAGCAAGCUUAUUAUCUUAACUGUUAUUGAAUAAGUCAAUUGUUCCUAAUAUUCAUUCGAGCAAACUUUAACUCUAAUGUUAUUUGAAAUUCUCAUUUGAUAGAUUCAUUCUAACUUGUUUAUAGUUAAGCAAGUUUCUUAAGUUCUAUUAUUGUAUAAUGAACGCAGUUUUUGAACUCUCGUCCCUAUUAUUGAACUGUUUUAAUUCUUUGCAUGAGUUAAUACCUUAUUGGGUAAGUUUUUAGUUUCUAGCUUGCUAUCAGUUUAUGUACGUUCAGUUAUUUCAAUUCUAAUGUUAUAAGACUCUAACCUUAGCUUAUUUACUGUUCAAGCAAAGGUUAACCAUUUUAUUCAUUCUAUUGAAUACUUAUGCUCUAUAGUUAUUUCAAGCAUGAGUUUAAUAUGUAUAAUCAGUUCAUUUAUGAUUCUUAAUUGUUUUAUGUUAUAUUGUUAUUAAACAUCUGUUGUGAUUAUCAAACACUAUUGAUUCAACUAGUCCUCUAGUUGAUGUUCGUUAAACUUCAAAUUUCCCUUGAAAGCUUAUCCAAACCAAACUUUCUUUGCUGCGGACUUGUACUCUAAAUACUGAGAUGAACAACCCUAUUAUUAAUAGGGGAUAACUUACGCAUAGCGUUAAAAUGUUUGUGCACAAUACAUUGUACGAAGGGCUGAUCCCCCUAAGUAUGAGGAGUCCUUAUAGUCUUAUGACUGUUAAAGUUGAAGUUGAAAGAUUACUCGCAACUAUGGACAUGGUUCAUGGUCUUAUGACCCUCAGUUAUGUAUAUUCCAUAUUUUGGAUUCCAGUUCUGAUUAUCAUUAUUAGAGUACUAUUCAGUCUUGAUGAGCCAAUUGUUGGCAGUUAUUAUUAUUAUUCUCCUGUUGAUUCAUUGUUAUAUUCAGUGAGCAAUUGUUUUGCUCACUCUUGCAUAUUUAUAAACUCAUUGCAACUAAAGUUGAGAAGGUAGAUGAGCCUUCAACUAGCAAAGGAAAGGGAAAAUGUACAAGUGAUGCUGAUUUGUACUUUUGAUUUCUGUUAUGAUCAUAGACUUUUUAAUAAUGAUGUAAUGUAAUAAUUUAAUUCCGCACUUGAAUGAUGUUUGAAGGUUAGAUAACCUGGGAUUGUUUUGAAUUUAAUGGUGUAACCCUAUUUAAAGGGAGGAUUAUGGCUUAAAUAAUAUUUGUUUGGGCAGAUAGUAUGUAUGAAUGUAUGGAUAGUGAGCACCAAAUCUAGUGGGAAUGAAGUACCUAGAUUUGGGGGUGUCACAAUUAUGGCAAGUUCCUGGAUUUCCAAAGUGUGGUAUGUUUGAUUAACUAUAUUGGGUAGAAAACGGUUAUAGUAUAGAGAGCAUUGAUGAAGUUGAAGAUUGAUAGAAUGGUUAAGUAAUAAAUUAAUGAUGUAAAAUUAGAGGUUGAAUGUAUUGUUAACAACCAAAGUCGAGAAUUAAAUUGUAUGAAUUUUGGGGUCGUUAUAGAUGAAAUAGAUGAACUAAUUUGGGCCAGCUAGAAAAAAACAAUUAAUAACAAAAGAUUAUAAUAUUUAUCAUUAUUAAAAUUAUAAAUACUAACAAUAGAGAGUGGUAAGAAUAUCAAAGGUUGGACCAUUGAAUAAUACUUCCUCCAUCCCAUAAUAUAUUAUGUUUUAGAGUUAUACAUAAGAAUUAAAAAAAUAAUUGUAUAAUAUUAAAUAUGAUAUUAAUUAUCUGAAGUACCUUUAAAUUCUCAUAAUUACCAUACUUAUCUCAUACUUUCGCAUCUAUAAUAUUUUUCUAUGAGAAGUAAUUUUAGAAUAAUUUUUAUUAAUUCUUUCAUAUUAUAUAAAACUUUAAAUAAUUUUAAAAGAAUAAAAUAAUCUAAAAUAUUAUAUAAUAUAUUAUAGGACGAAGUAGUAAUAAUGAUUUUGUAGGAGAUGUGUACAAACACUUGUAUUCUCAAUACAAAUACAUGUAUUGUCUAAAUAAUUAUAUUUCAAGGACAAUUCGAGUUGACUCACUACAUGGACACAAACAAUCUUCCAGUUAUAAUUAGCACUAUGUUUUUUAAGAAUUCGGUUAACAUGAAGUUUAUUUUUUGGUAAGUUGGUCGAUUGGUCAGUAAAAUGCUGACACAUAGAGAGCCUUGCCCGCGUGUCUGUGACGCCCCUAAAUUUGGACCUCCACUUGGUCACUCGAAUUUGUUUCAUCACGUUCUCAUGGUAAUACCAUAAUAACUAAAUGACACGUUCACAACGGAAAAUCUAAUUUAGAAUAAUAUACAAUGAUUUAUUAUAAUUAUUCCCCCAAGUCUCACAACCUACAGUACUUAAUAGAUUACAUAAUAAUAUCGAAUAAAGACUUACUACAAAAUCCUACUUAAGCUUAAACAUAGUCUGAAAAUAGUCUUAAUACAACACAAAAAUUUUAACAUAAAGGAACAGGCUAGUCGGUAGCCUUGCCCUUGCCCUUGUCUGUUCCAGAGACACCUCCCUGUUCCGCCUUAACUGAAAGGUUUUAAAUAAGCAAAGAUGAGCACAAAUUCCCCAACAAGUAAUAUACAACAAGGGUGAAGGAUAUAAUAUCACAAGUUUGAAUUAUCGAAGUAUUAUCUCUAAGAUAGUUCAGAGUUUCAGAAUAAUAUCAUGAAUAGUGAAUAUCAACAAUUCAUCAACAAUUCUUGGAAUAAGAAUGAUAAUUUAAUAUAAAUCAACAGAUAUAUAUAUAUAAAUUCAAAGAUUAUCAAUGUAUCCAACUGGAUAAAAAAUUUAUACUGAGUAGUCACUAAGGACUAUUGAACAUCCACUAGAGUUACCAAUAUUAAACUGAUAUCCCAAAAGAAUCAAGUACUAUAGAUGAUCAAUCUAUAAUACUCUAAGUUAUGCAUAACACCACAAUAAUAUCCCCUCAUGUGUUGGGGUUUCCAACAACAUACACUCCCCUUACCAUAAGAGUUGUUCAACUCAGUUUUCAAGAUUUCCUUACCAAUCAAUUGGUUUGGACAGUUUUAUAAACAUGCAUAUAGUCUAUCCAAAUUAAAUGGCAUCGACUCUUUCAUAAUAUUCAAGAACAAUACCAAGUUAGCAUAAAUAAUAGUUUUCACAAGAGUCUAAACAUACUUGUUCAAUUGAAUGAAUAAGUAGAAUAACUUGCAUUCAAAGAGAUAAGGUUUAGAUACUCUGCUUACGGUAUUCGUUGAAUAAAGUAAUCCAAAGAUACUUGCACAAUAAGAGUAGGGUUCGGAUACUUGCUCAAGUGAAAAAGUAAGAGUUAAGGAACUUGCACAAUCAAAGAGUGAAGUUCAAGGAAACUUGCCUUAAGCGUAGUUUUCCACGUUAAUAAAUCAACACUUUCGAAUCCUAGUAUUGCGUAUUAUAAGUACAAGAUGCUCAUUAGCUAACACAUUCAUUAAUCAAGUUUGACACGAUUCAAGUAUGCACAUAUGGUACAAAUCAGAUUAUAAAUUCAUCAUGAAUCAAAUACCUAGUCAUUUCAUAAGUAAUUUAAGAAUACUCAAGGUUAAGUCCUUUUUACCCAUGGACAUUCCUAUUACGAGGCAAACACCAUCAUAUCAUCUAAGCAUCACUUAUAUACAUGUAUUAGUAGGUUUUAAACUACUUUUAGUAAUAUAGGCUUCACACAAGUUAGCUAUCCAAAGAUCAGAUUUCACUAUCUCAAAUUCAAGACUGGCGCAGCUGCGCCGUCCGCAGGCCAAGCCAAGACUCAAUUGUUGCCUUGAGGUUUAUGUCUGGCAUAAACACAAUAAUCAUAUAUAAUUAUGCUAAAGGUCUUUUCAUGCUUCUCAAGUUAAUCUAGGUUCUUCAUUUCAUCAUAUAAUUCCAAAUUAAUUAUUUCAACAAUUUAAGGCCCUUCAAGGUCAUGAAACCAGAAAGUCUAUUAUGCUUGCUCUCUAAUCAUACAAGGUAGUUACAAUACUCGUAUUAGGCAUGCUUGUGAGUAUUCAUAACGCAUAUGUGAAAUUAACACUGCUUUAGUUGAAAAUAUGCUUCGUUCAUGUUUUUCUUGAAAUAUGAUACACAAGCAUGGUAUAUAUAUGGUUAUGUUACAUGAGUGAGCCUAAGAGUAACAUUAACAUGAUUACAAAUGUCAGAUUCUAACCCUUAAGGUAGUUUGUCAAUAUUCAUGUUCAAAGGUCAUAUUUUUAUUUGUAAAGUGCAUUAAUUCAUUCAACAUGUUCAUGCUCUCUUACGAAUCAUAUAAACAUAAGUUAACGGUUUAUUUAUGCAUUUCUAGAUCAUGCCAACAUGCUUGCAAAGUCAGUACACAAAUAUGUCAUUCAUACUCGUCAAGUUCGUUUCUAAAGUUUCCAAAUUCAUUUUAAUCCACACACUUUCGUUAAUCAUGCUAAUCUAGUAAAACAUGCUCUCCUCAAGUUAAUAUACUGGUAUAUACCCCUUACACAUGCGUACAUGCUAGUUUGAGACAUAACAAUUGACUAACAUUGAUCAAAUUUGAAAAUAGAAAGUCCAAUUGAAAACAGAGACCGGCGCAGCUACGUUGCGCUGCGCCUUAGUGUAAAUCCGGCGCAGCUGCGUCGUCCCUAGUUCAAGCCAUGAACAGUCUACUUCGGUAGAAAGCUAGCCCAACCUUAGAAAUUAUUCAUCAUUUCAAUUCUAACCAGCCAUGUAUCAAUUGCAACAUGCCUAUAUGGUUAUAUAACAACUAUUUAAACAUUACCCAACCUCAUUAACAUAUAAUUCCACAAAAUCAAGAAUUUGUAUUUCAAUACUCACGAACUCUAUUUUGAUAGAGAAUGAAAUGGAAGCAAGGAAAAGGAAUUAUACCUUUGUAAUGUGAAAGAACUUGCUCCUAAUGAACUCCCAAUGUCCUAAAAUCAUUGUAUGCUCUCAACCUCACCCUCAAUGGAAUUCUCAGCAAUGGAAAAAAAUGAAAGGAGAGCUCUCAUUUAUAGAACACUCAAAACCCAGACAAUGACAUUUUCCCCUAAAUCAAACUCAUGGAUGAAAGAAUUGCAUGAAGGGCAAGGAGGAGUUGUUGGAUGUUAGUUGGAUUUCAUCAUGACCACCACUCCCCCCAUGAUCAUUUAGCUAGGAAGCUUGGAAGAAGAAAUAGGCCUUAGCCUUUUUAGUUUAUGCGUGAUUGAGAAAUGAGGCAAAUGGGACACUCAUUUUGGGACACUUCCAACUAACUCAGCCAUUAUGUACACUUAUACAAAUUCCCACUCUUGUGCUAUUUUUCUUAUAUACAUAUUAACUAUACAUUAUAACUUAAUGUCACAAUAUGAUUUAACAUUUCAAGGUAGUAGAUGCUAUGCAACAUCCAUGUACAUUUUUUUUAAUGUAUACCUACCUACACAUUGUCACAUAGAUAUUUUAUAAUGUAUUUAUAACAUAUAGUUCCAAUAUGUUUAAUCACAUUGCUUCAUACAAUAUAGUUUUAUAAGACUUAAUAUAUAGUCACACAAAUGUCACACUGCACUAUAUAGUAUAGUUGUAUUAUUGCUCACAUGCACAUAACCGUCAAUAUAAUCUUAUUAUAUUUAUAACUCACUUAUUUGUUUUAUGUCAAAUAAAUAAUUUAAUCCAUUCUUCCUUAAUUAAUAUUUUUAUGGAUCUCCAUAACCAUUAAUUAUCUAUAUAAUUCUUAUUAUAUUUAUAGACAUAUUGCAAACAAUAAUAAUCACAUAUUAUUAAUUAAUUACCAAGUAAUCAAUAUUCCACCACCAUCAAUUAAUAUUAAUUAAUGGCUUACUUAAUAAUUCCUUCGUCGAACAAAACGCACUUUGUUCCAUGGUUUAUUAAUGUCACAUAUAUCACAUAAUUGUUCCAUUUUAUUUCUAAAGUAGAAAAAUUAAUUUUUCUCCAACUGACCACUGGCGCAGCUGCGCCAGUUCGUACUGCUGGGACGGUACAGCUGCGUCGUACCCUGACAGUGCCAAGACUGGUUUAGCUUCAAUCCAGCGUCAAUUUCCAUCGCCAAACUUGUUUUACUCGACAUAAAUUAAUGUCCACAAGAGAUAUCACCAGUCUAAGAGCGUAUUGAUUACUUAUAUGAAAUCACAUGAUCUUACACGAUUAAUCUUCCUAAUUCUCGUUUUAAUUCGCUUAGUAAAUUUCCUCGUUUCACAUUAUGCCACACAAGGCGUUUCACAAUUCUCAUUGUCAAUUCACAUUUCUUAAUACACAUUGAUCUAAUACGAAUCAAUUGAAUUAAUCGACUCAUAAAACAAUAACACUUAUAUUCACAUAAAUAUUAUUUCCAUUAAUAUAUUCAUUUAAUAAUACGUGGAAAUUCUCGGGUAUUACAUCCUCCCCCCUUAUAAAAAAUCCAUCCCGAAAUUGCUACAAGGUUACACAAAUAGAUGGGGAUAAUUCCUCAUCAUUCUAUCUUCUAAAUCCCAAGUAGCCUCAUCGUGGUUACGCCAAAGUACUUUUACAGAAGAAAUGACUUUGUUCCUUAAAGUUUGCUCCUUCUUAUCUAGAAUUUGGACAGGAAUUUCUUCAUACGCUAAGUUCUUCUCCACUUGAAUGGGUUCAUAAGAAAUCAUGUGUUUGUAGUCGGACUUGUACAGACACAACACGGAUAUGUGAAACACGUUAUGGAUGUGCUCCAACUCAGGUGGUAGUGCAACUUUGUACGCUACUUUGCCCACUCGUUUUAGUAUCUCGAACGGUCCUAUGAAUCUUGGACUCAGUUUUCCUUUCUUGUCGAAACGGAUCUUUCCCUUCCAUGGAGAUACCUUCAGGAAUACAAAACUGGUAAAUUUAAAAUCUCGGUCUUGUCGAUGCAAGUCUGCAUACUUCUUCUGGUGAUCUUGAGCUGCUACUAGUCUGGCUCUUAUCACUGUCACCACAUCCGCGGUUUGUUGUACUAACUCUGGUCCGAGUAUUCGUCAUUCUCCAACUUCGUCCCAAUAUAAUGGCUUUCUGCACUUCCUUCAGUAAAGAGCUUCAUAUGGUGGCAUGCCGAUACUCGCAUGGUAACUAUUAUUAUACGCAAAUUCGACUAAGGGUAGGUGGUCGUCCCAAUUUCCCUUGAAGUCCAUCACGUAAGUCCUAAGCAUGUCCUCUAGCGUUUGUAUUGUUCGCCCAAUCUGUCCAUCUAUCUGAGGGUGAUAUGCGGUACUCAACCUCAACUGUGUUCCCAUCCUCUCUUGCAAGCUUUUCCAGAACUUUAACAUGAAGCGCGGAUCUCGGUUAAAAAUAAUCGAUACCGGCACUCCAUGUCGUGAAAUAAUUUCCAUUACGUACAGACUCGCUAACUGAUUUAAACUGUAGCGGAUCUUGAUCGAUAGAAAAUGUGCGGUCUUCGUAAAUCGAUCCACGAUAACCCAAAUGGCAUCUAAACCUUUCUGCGUGAUUGGAAGUCCUACCAUGAAAUCCAUCGUAAUAUGCUCCCAUUUCCAUUCUGGUAUUUCUAACGGUUGUAGAAAUCCACUCGGCCGCUGAUGCUCCGCUUUGACUCGUUGACACGUAAGACAUCUACUAACGUACUCCGCAAUUUCUCGUUUCAGAUUUGGCCACCAAAAAUGUUGUUUCAAGUCCCGAUACAUCUUCAUGCCUCCAGGAUGAAUGGAAAAUGUCGUAUUAUAUGACUCGUACAAAAUCUCCUCUCUUAACUCGGCUACCGCCGGUACCCACACUCUACCUUCGAAUCUUAAGAUAUCGUUUUUAUCCAUUCAAAAUUUAUCUUCCUCAUUUUAUGUGAUCCUCUUCCUGAUUUUCUCACAUUCUCCAUCUUUCUCCUGUGCUUCUUUUAUUCUAUCCAAUAAUGUCGGACAAGCUUAUAUUAUAAAUAACUUCUCUUCAGACCUCUCGGGUCCCUUUACCUCUAUUUCCAACUUCUCCAUAUCUCUUAUUAACUCCUCCUGAGUUGUUAAUUGCAUCAGUUUCUCCCUUCCUUUUCUGCUCAGAGCGUCGGCAACUACAUUUGCCUUCCCCGGGUGAUAAUGAAUAUCACAGUCAUAAUCUUUGAUCAAUUCUAACCACCUUCUCUGAUGCAUAUUCAACUCCUUUUGUGUGAAGAUAUAUUUCAGACUUUUAUGGUCCAUGUAUAUCUCACAUUUCUCUCCGUACAAAUAAUGUCUCCAUAUCUUUAACGCAAAAACUACUGCCGCUAACUCUAAGUCAUGAGUAGGGUAUCAUUUUUCAUAAUCCUUCAAUUGUCGUGAUGCAUACACAAUGACUUUAUCGUGUUGCAUAAGCACACAACCAAGUCCUCUAUGCGACGCAUCACUAUACACCACAAAUCCUGUCGUAUCAUCUGGUAAUGAUAAUACAGGCACCUCGCUUAAUCUCUUCUUCAAAUCUUGAAAACUUUCUUCGCAUUUGUCGGUCCAUACAAAUUUCAACGUCUUCCUCGUCAAAUUAGUCAACGGGGUCGCUAUCUUAGAAAAAUCCUGGAUAAAUCUUUGAUAGUACCCAGCUAACCCUAAGAAACUUCUCACCUCCGUCGGGGUUCUCGGUUGUUCCCAAUUACUUACUGCUUUGACCUUUUCGGGGUCUAAUGAGAUUCCAUUCUCAUCCACCACGUGGCCUAAGAAUUGAACCUUCUUUAUCCAGAAUUCGCACUUAGAAAAUUUCGCAUACAUCUUCUCCUUUCUUAGUGCCUCCAAAACAAUCUUCAGAUGUUUGGCGUGUUCUUCCUCCAUCUUUGAGUAGAUCAAAAUAUCGUCGAUGAAAACCACCACAAAUUUAUCCAAAUAUGGCUUGAAACUCAAUUCAUCAAGUCCAUGAAUGUUGCCGGAGCAUUAGUCAAACCAAAUGACAUUACCAAAAACUCGUAAUGUCCAUAACGGCUUCAAAACGCAGUCUUUGGUAUGUCCUCAUCCCGCACUUUCAGUUGGUGAUAUCCCAUCCGCAGGUCGAUCUUCGAGAAACACUUCGCUCCUUUCAGUUGAUCAAAUAAGUCAUCUAUCCUUGGUGGCGGAUAUCUGUUCUUGAUUGUUACUCUGUUCGAUUCUCGAUAAUCGAUACAGAGCCUCAUCGAUCUGUCCUUUUUCUUAACGAAUAACACUGGUGAAGGAGACACACUUGGUCAAAUGUAACCCUUAUCCAACAACUCUUGAAGUUGUAUCAUCAAUUCCUUCAUUUCUACUAGCGCCAUAGGAUAUGGAGCUUUCGAAAUCGGUGACGUCCUUGGUGCUAAGUCUAUUACGAAUUCGAUUUCUCUGUCUGGCGAAAGGCCAGGCAGAUCAUCCGGAAACACAUCCUAAAAUUCAUUCACUACGGGUAUAUCUUUAAUCUCUAUUCCCUUUUUCCGAGUAUCCACAAUGUAAGCUAAAUAACCUACACAUCCUUUCUUUAACAUUUUCUUGUCCUGCAUCAUCGUAACGCAACACGAUUGCUUAAGCGAUGAGCUACCAUAAAACACUACCUUAGACUUACUCAGAGUCUGAAGGUUCACACAUUUACUCUGAUAGUCAAUUACUGCUGCAUGGUUAUAUAACCAAUCCAUCCCCAGUAUUACGUCAAAUUCUCCUAGUCUAAUAGGAAUCAAGACUACACUAAGUUCAUGUUCUCUAAUGUUUGCGCGACAAUUUUGAUAGACGUAUUCUACAGGGAUUAUUUCCUUAUUCGUAACUUCUAUGUUCAAAGGAUCUUUUAAACAUUCUCGGGGUGUAUUAAAUUUACUAGCAAAUUCUUCGGAUACAAAAGAACAGGUGGCACCCGAAUCAAAUAAUACAUAAGUAUUUAUAUUAUUCAUUGGGAUUAUACCUGACACCACGUCCUUCGCAUCCACUGCGUCCUAGACGGUCAUGUUAAAGGUUCGAGCGGUCGAUCGGUUGGGUUGUGCAGGUCCACCAAUCAUUAACUUACUUCCUCCUCCCUGGCCUCCACCAGUUCCACUGCUUCCUUUCUUCGGGCAAUCCUUUAUCUGGUACUCUGUUGAUCCACAAGCAAAACAUCUUCUGAUCUUCUUCGGCUUUGGGAAAUUUGGUGAUAUGUGCCCCUCUUGGCCGCAAUUAUAGCAGGUGUUCUUUCUCUUCCAACACUUUCCCUGACGACUUCUUCCACAUUUGUUACAAACUUCAGUCCUUCUCUUGAAGUUUCCCUGGUGACUCCAACCUUGAUUAUUGCUUCUGUUGUUAUUGUUUUCCCAUUUACUCUUUCCGGAGUUACUUCCUCCGCUGCUGCUUCCUCCACGAUGCUCACUACUAGUGUUCUUGUUCUUCUUCUCCUUAUGAUAUGACUUAAGGCCUCACUGCCACCUUCCGCAAUGAUUGCCUUCUCUAACAAUGUCGUAAAGGAAUCAAUUUGGAAGACUAAUACCUUAUUAUACAACCACGGCUUCAACCCUUGCUCGAAGCGUCUCGCCUUUCUUUCCUCAUCCAAAACUUGGUGCUCCGCAAAUCGCGCUAGUUCAUUAAACUUAGUCGCGUAUUGCGCCACCGUCAUAUCACCUUGUUUUAACUCUAGGAACUUCACUUCCAUCCUACUCUUUGGGAAAUAGUUCUCGAAGAACAACGUAGUAAACCUCUCCCAUGUUAUCGUUCCUUCUCCCGCUCUCUGCUGAUUAGUUUCCCACUAAUAGUUCGCUUCUCCCCUCAUCAUGUAUGUGGCAAAUACUGUCUUUUGGUCUUCACCCACGCGAGCUAUAGUGAAGGCCUUCUCGAUCUCCUUGAUCCAGGUUUGCGCAACUAUCGGGUCAGUGGUUCCCUUGAACUCCGGGGGUCCUACACUCUUAAAAUCUUUGAAGGUUGUUACUGGGACAGCUUGGGGAACGGGUGGUAAGGGUUCGUUUCUUCCCCUCAGAGCUUCUCCCAAUAAAUCUACCAGUCUCUGUAUCGGAUCUACUGGACCUCUCUCAUCAUUAACUGACUAUUCUAGGACAGUUAUUCUACGUCUGGGCGGUAUUUUCUGCAUCACAAAAUUUUUCAUUUUAUUAUCUAAUUAUCAUAUUUAGACAUUUCUCAAUAGAAAAGAACUACAAGUUUACAACACGUUUCUGAAAUAAGAUCAUUUAUAUUCAUAUGCCAAAUGGUUACAUUACAUGUUCUUUUCUAGCAUACUGCUAUAAAUGAUAUCACAAAUCCCCUAUUAUCACAAAAGACGGGGACAACACCAUCUUACUACCCCUCAAACAUUUUUCAAAAGUUGGGGUUUUACUACUACCUCACGUCAUACACAAAAGACUGAGAUUACAACAACAUAUUAAACAACACCAUAUCUCGACUUAUGGUAUACCGGGUCUGUCCUUGCUCAGCUGGGUAAUGAUUUACCCCAUUGAUCAAUCUCUCCAUGGUCGUACGUAGAGCAUAGCCCAUCUUGUUCAUCUUCCUCCUUUUGCACCGCAGCUCGUCUUCUAGAUCAUCUACCCUAUCAUUGGUUUCCUCCCACUUCUCCUCAAAGUGAAUCCUAUCCAUCACCUCCAUCUCUAACUGAGUUCAAAGAGCCUCCUUCUCCAUCCUCUCACUCAAAACCUUCUGCUCUAAUUCCUCCAGCUUUCCUGCCAUCUCAACAUUUCUCGCCACCGCUCGGUGAAACAAAGCUCCCAUCUAGAUCCCUGCCUCCUUACGGUGAGCAAUUUCCACCUCCAUUUCUUGCAUCGUCAAUUUUCCCUGAUGGUCCUCGUCCCUCAACUUCUGGAACGCGGAAUCCCUCUCCUUAGCCAUAGCUUCAAGCUCCUCUACUCUACAUCCUAAUUCCAAAAUUUGCUCUUCAUACUCCCCUAGCAUUCGAUCCUCAAAAGUGGCCUCGUCGGAGUCCUCCAAAGGCUCGGGCUCCUCCUCCAAAGGCUUCUCCUCCGGAUCAGACUCCACCUCUUCCUCAUCGUCAUCGUCAUCGUUCGGGACCACUACUGAUAUAGGUUCUGCUAUCAAUGGUGCCUCAUAGACUACGUGGAUAUCACACGGCUCCUCCUCUACUACUCGGCUAGGUCCUCCCAUGUCAGUCAUCCUAUAAUCACCAACAUAAGACAACACAAACAACAACUCCAUUAGAAUAUUAAAUAAACAUAAGUUCAUUAUAUAGAAUGAAGUUACAUUUCAUAACACACUAAGUUUCUCAAGGAAAACUCUACAUGAGUUUUAUCUCCAUACUAACUUCUAAGUUCUCCUAAGUUAUAAUCUAAGGACACUCGCUCCUAAGGUUUAUAACUACGGCUUUGAUACCAACCUGUGACGCCCCUAAAUUCGGACCUCCACUUGGUCACUCGAAUUUGGUUCAUCGCGUUCUCAUUGUAAUACCAUAAUAACUAAAUGACACGUUCACAACGAAAAAUCUAAUUUAGAAUAAUAUACAAUGAUUUAUUAUAAUUAUUCCCCCAAGUCUCGCAACCUACAGUACUUAAUAGAUUAUAUAAUAAGAUCGAAUAAAGACUUAUUACAUAAUCCUACUUAAGCGUAAACAUAGUCUGAAAACAGUCUUAAUACAACAUAGAAAUUUUAACAUAAAGGAAUAGGCUAGUCGGUAGCCUUGCCCUUGCCCUUGUCUGUUUCAGAGACACCUCCCUGUUCCGCCUUAACUGAAAGGUUUUAAAUAAGCAAGGAUGAGCACAAAUUGCCCAACAAGUAAUAUACAACAAGGUGAAGGAUAUAAUAUCACAAGUUUGAUUAUCGAAGUAUCAUCUCUAAGAUAGUUCAAAGUUUCAAAAUAAUAUCACGAAUAGUGAAUAUCAACAAUUCUUGGAAUAAGAAUGAAAAUUCAAUAUAAAUCAACAGAUAUAUAUGAAUUCAAAGACUAUCAAUGUAUCCAACUGAUAAACAAUUUAUACUGAGUAGUCACUAAGGACUAUUAAACAUCCACUAGAGUUACCAAUAUUAAACUGAUAUCCUAAAAGAAUCAAGUACUAUAGAUGAUCAAUCUAUAAUACUCUAAGUUAUGCAUAACACCACAAUAAUAUCCCCUCAUGUGUUGGGGUUUCCAACAACAUACACUCCCCUUACCAUAAGGGUUGAUCAACUCAGUUUUCAAGAUUUCCUUACCAAUCAAUUGGUUUGGACAGUUUUAUAAACAUGCAUAUAGUCUAGCCGAAUCAAAUGGCAUCGACUCUUUCACAAUAUUCAAGAACAAUACCAAGUUUAACAUGAAUAAUAGUUUUCACAAGAGUCUAAACAUACUUGUUCAAUUGAAUGAAUAAGUAGAAUAACUUGCAUUCAAAGAGAUAAGGUUUAGAUACUCUGCUUACGGUAUUCGUUGAAUAAAGUAAUGCAAAGAUACUUGCACAAUAAGAGUAGGGUUCGGAUACUUGCUCAAGUGAAAGAGUAAGAGUUAAGGAACUUGCACAAUCAAAGAGUGAAGUUCAAGGAAACUUGCCUUAAGCGUAGUUUAUCCACGUUAAUAAAUAAACACUUUUGAAUCCUAGUAUAGCGUAUUAUAAGUACAAGAUGCUCAUUAGCUAACACAUUCAUUAAUCAAGUUUGACACGAUUCAAGUAUGCACAUAUGGUACAAAUUAGAUUAUAAAUUCAUCAUGAAUCAAAUACCUAGUCAUUUCAUAAGUAAUUUAAGAAUACUCAAGGUUAAGUCCUUUUUAUCCAUGGACCCUCCUAUUACAAGGCAAACACCAUCAUAUCAUCUAAGCAUAACUUAUAUACAUGUAUCAGUAGGUUUUAAACUACAUUUAGUAAUAUAGGCUUCACAUAAGUUAGCUGUCCAAAGAUCAGAUUUCACUAUCUCAGAUUCCAGACUGGCGCAGCUGCGCCAUGGCUAAGCCUAGGAACAGCGCAGCUGCACCAUCCUCUGUCCAAGCCAAGACUCAGAUGUUGCCUUGAGGUUUCUGUCCAGCAUAAACACAACAAUCAUAUAUAAUCGUGCUAAAGGUCUUUUCAUGCUUCUCAAGUCAAUCUAGGUUCUUCAUUUCAUCAUAUAAUUCCAAAUUAAUUAUUUUAACAAUUUAAUGCCCUUCAAGGUCAUGAAACCACAAAGUCUAUCAUGCUUGCUCUCUAAUCAUACAUGGUAGUUACAAUACUCGUAUUAGGCAUGCUUAUGAGUAUUCAUAACGCAUAUGUGAAAUUAACACCGCUUUAGUUGAAAAUAUGCUUCGUUCAUGCUUUUCUUGAAAUAUGAUACACAAGCAUGGUAUAUAUAUGGUUAUAUUACAUGAGUGAGCCUAAGAGUAACAUUAACAUGAUUACAAAUGUCAGAUUCUAACCCUCAAGGUAGUUUGUCAAUAUUCAUGUUCAAAGGUCAUAUUUUCAUUUGUAAAGUGCACUAAUUCGUUCAACAUGUUCAUGCUCUCUUACGAAUCAUAUAAACAUAAGUUAAUGGUUUAUUUAUGCAUUUCUAGAUCAUGCCAACAUGCUUGCAAAGUCAGUACAUAAAUAUGUCAUUCAUACUCAUCAAGUUCGUUUCUAAAGUUCCCAAAUUCAUUUUAAUCCACACACUUUCGUUAAUCAUGCUAAUCUAGUAAAACAUGCUCUCCUCAAGUUAAUUUACUGGUAUAUACCCCUUACACAUGCGUACAUGCUAGCCUGAGCCAUAAAGAUUGACUAACAUUCAUCAGAUUUGAAAAUAGAAACUCCAACUAAAAACAAAGACCGGCGUAGCUGCGCUGCGCCUUAGUGUAAAUCUGGCACAGCUGCGCCGUGCCUGGUUUGAGCCAAGAACAGUCUGCUUCGGCAGAAAGCUAGCCCAACCUUAGAAAUUAUUCAUCAUUUCGAUUCUAACCAGUUAUGUAUCAAUUGCAACAUGCUUAUAUGGUUAUAUAACAACUAUUUAAACAUUACCCAACCUCAUUAACAUACAAUUCCACAAAAUCAAGAAUUUGUAUUUCAAUACUCAUGAACUCUGUUUUGACAGAGAAUGAAAUGGAAGCAAGGAAAAGGAAUUAUACCUUUGUAAUGUGAAAGAACUUGCUCCUAAUGAACUGCCAAUGUCCUAAAAUGCUUGUAUGCUCUCAACCUCACCCUCAAUGGAAUUCUCAGUAAUGAAAAAAAAUGAAAGGAGAGCUCUCAUUUAUAGAACACUCAAAACCCAGACAAUGACAUUUUCCCCUAAAUCAAACUCAUGGAUGAAAGAAUUGUAUGAAGGGCAAGGAGGAGUUGUUGGAUGUUAGUUGGAUUUCAUCAUGACCACCACUCCUCCCAUGAUCAUUUAGCUAGGAAGCUUGGAAGAAGAAAUAGGCCUUAGCCUUUUUGGUUUAUACGUGACUGAGAAAUGAGGCAAAUGGGACACUCAUUUUGGGACACUUCAACUAACUCAUCCAUCAUGUACACUUAUACAAAUUCCCACUCUUGUGCUAUUUUUCUUAUAUACAUAUCAAUUAUAUAUUAUAACUUUAUGUCACAAUAUGAUUUAACAUUUCAAAGUAGUAGAUGCUAUGCAACAUUCAUGUACAUUUUAUUUUAAUGUAUACCUACUGUAAGACCCCGAAUUUUAUGAAAUGAAAGUAUUCAAUUUUCUUAUGAUUAUUAUUUUAUUUCGUAAAUGGUUAAAUUGAUAAAAGGUUAAAGUUAAGGUUAAUAUGUGAAAAUUUUGUAAAGUAUGCAAGUUGUUAUAAAAUAUUCGAUUGGUCGGGGAAUAUUCUUUUUGUCGGAGAAUAUUCGUACGACGGCACAAUCAUUGGUGGACCGCACAACUGAAGUAUUGUCGUAUUUAGAAAAUGACAGAAUUAUCUUUUUAUAAAAAUAACGGCGAAAGUUUUACCGUUAAACUGUUGAACUACCCGGUAGUAAAAAUACAGUAAUACGCGUGGUUGCAUAGUAGCACACGGUAUUGAUUAUUGAUGCUUACAUAAGAAGUCACUCAGUUAUACUCAAUUAUUGUUACAGUAAUUGUUGCAUCAUAUCUCUCAUAUUAUUGAUUCAAUUAUUGUCACAGUAUCAUCUGUAUAAUAUAUUAUAUUAUUAAAUCAAUAAUUGACAUGACAAAGUUAUUCAUAUUAUUAUUUGUAAUAUUGACAAUGUCUAGAAGUUCUGUCAAUGAGAGGUUAGAUAAUCUAAUUGCGUGCCAAUAGGGAGAAAUCCUAAUCAGAAAACCCCCUCUUUCUUGGGAACGACCUGGUUGUUAAAUAUUAUGAAUUAUAAUAUUAAUGAUGAAUAAGUUCAUGUUGAUUAAAGAUGAAAUUGAUAGUUUCAUUGUGUUGAAAUUAUUAGUGUUAGUGAAAAUCGACAUUUAUUUCGAUAAUAAUUGAUGUCUGGAGGUUAUAUUAACCAAUCGGAUAAUUAACCGGAUAAAUGAGCAAUUAAUUUCUAUUAAUUCACAUAAUUAUAACUAUUUGUUCACAUGUGUGUACUAUUGAUUCACAUUCAUUUACUAUUAGGGGGGUUGGUGCAAGAUUUAUAAUACUUGCAUGACUAAGUUAAAAAUGGAGGUAUAAAUGGAGGUACUAUACUGUAAUUCGUAUUUUCACAUGAUUAGAACUAUUGAGUCACAUGAUUUACUAUUGAUUCACAUGAUUUACUAUUAGGGGAGGUGGUGCAAGUUUGAUAAUACUUGCAGGACUAAAUUAAAAAUGAAGGAAAAGAGGAAGGUAUUAUACUGUAAUAUUUNNNNNNNNNNNNNNNNNNNNNNNNNNNNNNNNNNNNNNNNNNNNNNNNNNNNNNNNNNNNNNNNNNNNNNNNNNNNNNNNNNNNNNNNNNNNNNNNNNNNNNNNNNNNNNNNNNNNNNNNNNNNNNNNNNNNNNNNNNNNNNNNNNNNNNNNNNNNNNNNNNNNNNNNNNNNNNNNNNNNNNNNNNNNNNNNNNNNNNNNNNNNNNNNNNNNNNNNNNNNNNNNNNNNNNNNNNNNNNNNNNNNNNNNNNNNNNNNNNNNNNNNNNNNNNNNNNNNNNNNNNNNNNNNNNNNNNNNNNNNNNNNNNNNNNNNNNNNNNNNNNNNNNNNNNNNNNNNNNNNNNNNNNNNNNNNNNNNNNNNNNNNNNNNNNNNNNNNNNNNNNNNNNNNNNNNNNNNNNNNNNNNNNNNNNNNNNNNNNNNNNNNNNNNNNNNNNNNNNNNNNNNNNNNNNNNNNNNNNNNNNNNNNNNNNNNNNNNNNNNNNNNNNNNNNNNNNNNNNNNNNNNNNNNNNNNNNNNNNNNNNNNNNNNNNNNNNNNNNNNNNNNNNNNNNNNNNNNNNNNNNNNNNNNNNNNNNNNNNNNNNNNNNNNNNNNNNNNNNNNNNNNNNNNNNNNNNNAAAGUCAUCUUUGGCUUACGUGCAUAGAUGGACUUGGUAUGAUUAUGACCAGGGAUUAUUCGGUAUAAUCAUGACCGUAAUGUGACGAAUGAUGUGGUAAAAGUCCUCAUUGGCCUGUAGUUCAUUGAUGGACAUUUGUUGGUAUGAUUAUGACCAGGGAUUAUUCGGUAUAAUCAUGACCAUUGAUGAUUACAUGAAUAUCCUUGGUCGUGGUGCAGGGAUGAUGUGGUUUAUUUAUUAAGUUGAGUCUCAGCAAUAAAGUUGAUGAAAAUCUUUUUAAAUCAUAGAAGAUAGUAGAUUUUAUGCUCUACUUGGCUCUUCUAAUGGAUUGCUUAUUCCGCUGCAGUUGUUGAUCUAAAACUUGUUGUCUAUUAUAUUCUAUCAGUUGUUAUACUGUUGAAAGCUAAGGAUAAUUUAUUCUGCAUUAUCUUAGUCAUAAUAUUUCUUACUGGGCUAGUUGAGCUCACCCUUUGCUUUCAUUGUUCUCUUCAGAAAAUGAGAAUAUAGCUGGGACGAGUCGGGGAACGGAGUGACGGUCCAGAUGAUAGCAUUAGUAGUCCUCACUAUUCUGUUAAAUAGCGUGACAAUAAAUGUAAUGAGGACUCCACUGAGUGUGGAUAUUGUCUAGAUGACAAUAUUCUUAUUAAAACUCUCAGUUUAUGUUUUUGUCGUAUUUUACACGACAAUUGUAUUAUUAAGUUGUAUUUGAAUUUUGUACCAUAUAUUUGGCGAUUCAAGAUGGGUGAUGUAUUUGAAUUUUGUACCAUAGUUUUCUACACAUUAUUAGUAAUGUUUCAUAAAUAUACAUAGAGAAUAGAAAUAUAACAAUUAAUAAUAAGGGUAUUAUAUGUAAAUUAUUAAAAAAAUAAAUCAUUUAAGAUAAAUAGAUAUUUAACUUGAGAUUAUCUGAAAUAGUAAUAAAGACUUUAAUUCUGAGACGAAAAGACUAAUAGGAAUAGAUUGUGAAGAGGAUGGCCGGUUGAGAAGUUUGAGUAAGAAAUUUGAUUGAAUUGUUUUAGAAAGUUUUCACCAUAGCGGUUGUUGGCGCAACUCUACGUUUUAUAAAUUACUUACAGAUAAUAUUUGAAUUUUAGUAUUGACAUAAGUGCGGUGAAAGUUCCUUCGUAUAUUUGUGAUUGUUGUAGGCGUUUUUGUCAAAAUUUAAAAUACUUUUACUUACAUCCCACUUUAUAAAAAUAAAAUAAAAUAAAAAGUGUUUUAAGGACUUUUACUAAUGUUGAAGACUUGGAAUAAGAAAAUUUUAUUCAUGGAAUGAGCUACUGCCUACUGUUGGUCAUAGAAAGACAUAAAAAUUCUUGUUGAAAAUCUUUAACCCCCAGUUCUUUCUUUUUUGUUUUAUUUUUUGAAAUCCUUUCUAUUUUUAUCUUAAAACUUUAUAUAAAUGUAAGUUGCUCUUGUUUAAACCAGUUUUAACAAUUUGACUUAUCUAAUUAAAAAGAGUAGACCCCACAUAAAAACAUUCCACAUCAUUUUAAUAUUCACUUAAUUUGGCCAUCACAAAUAAUUCAUACCAAUUUUCUCUUUCAUCAUGUACAAUCACAGCUACAUAAUGAAUCUGAAUGGGGAAAGAAACCAUCACAAUAAAUAUUAGAAAGAUGCCUAAAAUACAACUCAAAUUCAAACUCUAUUUUAAAACUAUUAAUAAAAAUUAGAUCAUUAGCCACCACGAGCAACCACCGACUUAAAAAGAUGGAUUUUUAAAGAAUAAACCCUAGAUAUUCAAAUGUCUGAUCUCUAAAAAUUAUAAGCUCAAUAAAAUUAUGGAACUUUACCUUCCGAUCUGUUUGCUAUGGUUUCGUUGCGAAGACCUUCCGAUAAGCUCUUCUGUCUACUACUUCAUCGUGUGAGAGAGGGAGGGAAGAAGUUGGAGAGAGAAAGUAGUCUUGUGUAUGAUAUGAGCUCUCAUUUGAGAAAGAGUGAAACCUGCGUAUUUUUUUUCCAAUUUGACCUGUACCGCUCAACCCGCGUAUUUUUGGCCCAAUUCAUCUUUAGUCCGUGAGUUUAGUUCGCU
Molecule: long non-coding RNA, 28123 nt
Filed under: Panax ginseng (ginseng)
Lineage: Eukaryota; Viridiplantae; Streptophyta; Magnoliopsida; Apiales; Araliaceae
Description: long non-coding RNA (PGIN_LNC001289)
Source: RNAcentral